CCCAAGGACAGGUUGAGCCGACCCAAACACGGGCAGAAGCAUAACGGCUAGUUCUGCAGAAGUACUUUCUGUCCUUCCAACAGUGAGUAACGGCUAGUUUUUGAAUUCUAACCAUUGGGGCUUGUCCAAUGGAUGAAGAAAAUUAUUUAAAGUGGCACUAUUCAUCAGAUAGAACACCUUUUUUAAAGAAUAUCAAAGAGUACACAAGAAAGAGAAAGUGCCCUAAUCUUCUUCAUCCAAGUGCUUCAUUCAAGAGUCAAAAGAAAGUGGUUGAGCAGAUUCAAAGAAUCAUCAAGAGCUCCAUCCACCCUUGAAGAGUGAAGCAUCCUUGACAAAGAAGAGAGAAGUCACAUCAAGCGAUAAAUAUUCUCUAAACUCUUAUUUGUAGAUUAUAUUGUUAU
This 401-nucleotide long non-coding RNA is filed under the name Phoenix dactylifera (date palm). RNAcentral's name for it is "long non-coding RNA (PDAC_LNC012408)". Lineage: Eukaryota; Viridiplantae; Streptophyta; Magnoliopsida; Arecales; Arecaceae. The record is from RNAcentral.